AUUGGCUCUCUGAGCUAAGAUCAUGUGUAGUAUCUGUUCUUUGCAGUGUAAUUUCUGCAACGGUCUAUAAACUGAAACCAAUGAAAUUUCCUGUAGUUUUCACCUCCGAACGGGGGGUGUGAGCUUGCUGAACCCCGUUCACGAGUUGGUCUCGUAUUGCAUUACCUCGAGGAUUGGCUCACUAUUU
RNAcentral lists this small nuclear RNA (187 nucleotides) under Schistosoma mansoni. RNAcentral's name for it is "U2 spliceosomal RNA". It matches the Rfam family "U2 spliceosomal RNA". Rfam says of the family: U2 is a small nuclear RNA (snRNA) component of the spliceosome (involved in pre-mRNA splicing). The record is from Rfam by way of RNAcentral. Lineage: Eukaryota; Metazoa; Platyhelminthes; Trematoda; Strigeidida; Schistosomatidae.